AACAAAAGAUGAUGAACAACAAGGGACUUAAUACUGAUGCAUGUGAUGUCACCUUUGUUAAAUUCUGAUUGU
Small nucleolar RNA from Misgurnus anguillicaudatus (oriental weatherfish), 72 nucleotides. RefSeq annotates it as small nucleolar RNA SNORD82. NCBI's taxonomy places the organism in Eukaryota, Metazoa, Chordata, Actinopteri, Cypriniformes, Cobitidae. The record is from RefSeq and is a predicted model, not a curated record.